UUGCAAAUGAUGAGUUAAAUCACCAUUGAUAAAAAGAAGCUCAAUUGAGCACUGUUGGAAAUCAAAAACUUCCAUGACUCUGAUGCAA
RNAcentral lists this small nucleolar RNA (88 nucleotides) under Arabidopsis thaliana x Arabidopsis arenosa. RNAcentral's name for it is "snoR72". It matches the Rfam family "Small nucleolar RNA R72". Rfam says of the family: snoR72 is a C/D box small nucleolar RNA, which acts as a methylation guide for 25S ribosomal RNA in Arabidopsis. The record is from RNAcentral. Lineage: Eukaryota; Viridiplantae; Streptophyta; Magnoliopsida; Brassicales; Brassicaceae.